RNAcentral lists this ribosomal RNA (406 nucleotides) under uncultured bacterium. Its description in RNAcentral is "partial 16S ribosomal RNA". It matches the Rfam family "Bacterial small subunit ribosomal RNA", at positions 29 to 526 of the family's 1533-position model. The record is from RNAcentral.
AUUGAACGCUGGCGGCAGGCCUAACACAUGCAAGUCGAGCGAGCGGCGGACGGGUGAGUAAUGUCUGGGAAACUGCCUGCUGGAGGGGGAUAACUACUGGAAACGGUAGCUAAUACCGCAUACCAUCAGAUGUGCCCAGAUGGGAUUAGCUCGUAGGUGGGGUAACGGCUCACCGAGGCGACGAUCCCUAGCUGGUCUGAGAGGAUGACCAGCAACACGGGAACUGAGACACGGUCCAGACUCCUACGGGAGGAAGAAGUGGGGAAAAUUGAACAAUGGGCGAAAGCCGGAUGCAGCCAGGCCGCGUGUGUGAAGAAGGCCUUCGGGUUGUAAAGCACUUUCAGCGGGGAGGCGUUACCCGCAGAAGAAGCACCGGCUAACUCCGUGCCAGCAGCCGCGGUAAUUC